GGGCACCUGCAUCCAGCAUGCCGCGUGAGUGAAGAAGGCCUUCGGGUUGUAAAGCUCUUUUGUCAGGGAAGAAACACCGGCUCUAACACAGUCCGGGAAUGACGGUACCUGAAGAAUAAGCACCGGCUAACUACGUGCCAGCAGCCGCGGUAAUACGUAGGGUGCGAGCGUUAAUCGGAAUUACUGGGCGUAAAGCGUGCGCAGGCGGUUAUACAAGACAGGCGUGAAAUCCCCGGGCUUAACCUGGGAAUGGCGCCUGUGACUGUAUAGCUAGAGUGUGUCUGAGGGGGGUAGAAUUCCACGUGUAGCAGUGAAAUGCGUAGAUAUGUGGAGGAAUACCAAUGGCGAGGCAGCCCCCUGGGAUAACACUGACGCUCAUGCACGAAAGCGUGGGGAGCAAACAGGUUUAGAUACCCUGGUAGUCCACGCCCUAAACGAUGCUGACUAGUUGUUCGGGAUUUACAUCCUGAGUAACGUAGCUAACGCGUGAAGUCAGCCGCCUGGGGAGUACGGUCGCAAGAUUAAAACUCAAAGGAAUUGACGGGGGCCCGCACAAGCGGUGGAUGAUGUGGAUUAAUUCGAUGCAACGCGAAAAAGCUUAGCUANCCUUGACAUGUCACUAACGAAGUAGAGAU
This 635-nucleotide ribosomal RNA is filed under the name uncultured bacterium. RNAcentral's name for it is "bacterial SSU rRNA". It matches the Rfam family "Bacterial small subunit ribosomal RNA", at positions 376 to 1007 of the family's 1533-position model. The record is from RNAcentral.